GCUGGCGGCACGCCUAACACAUGCAAGUCGAACGAAGUAGCAAUACUUAGUGGCAGACGGGUGAGUAACAUGUGGGUAUCUGCCCUUUGGCCUGGAAUAACACGAGGAAACUUGUGCUAAUACCGGAUAAGUCUUUACGGAGAAAGCUUUAUGCACCAUUGGAUGAGCCCGCACUUGAUUAGUUAGUUGGUAGGGUAAUGGCCUACCAAGACUGUGAUCAAUAGCUGAUUUGAGAGGAUGAUCAGCCACAUUGGGACUGAGACACGGCCCAAACUCCUACGGGAGGCAGCAGUGGGGAAUCUUGCACAAUGGAGGAAACUCUGAUGCAGCGAUGCCGCGUGAGUGAAGAAGGCCCUUGGGUUGUAAAGCUCUUUCGUCGGGGAAGAAAAUGACUGUACCCGAAUAAGAAGGUCCGGCUAACUUCGUGCCAGCAGCCGCGGUAAUACGAAGGGACCUAGCGUAGUUCGGAAUUACUGGGCUUAAAGAGUUCGUAGGUGGUUGAAAAAGUUGGUGGUGAAAUCCCAGAGCUUAACUCUGGAACUGCCAUCAAAACUUUUCAGCUAGAGUAUGAUAGAGGAAAGCAGAAUUUCUAGUGUAGAGGUGAAAUUCGUAGAUAUUAGAAAGAAUACCAAUUGCGAAGGCAGCUUUCUGGAUCAUUACUGACACUGAGG
Molecule: ribosomal RNA, 671 nt
Filed under: uncultured Pseudomonadota bacterium
Lineage: Bacteria; Pseudomonadati; Pseudomonadota
Description: bacterial SSU rRNA
Rfam family: Bacterial small subunit ribosomal RNA
Source: RNAcentral